AUUGAACGCUGGCGGCAGGCUUAACACAUGCAAGUCGAGCGGGGUGAUGGUGCUUGCACUAUCACUUAGCGGCGGACGGGUGAGUAAUGCUUAGGAAUCUGCCUAUUAGUGGGGGACAACAUCUCGAAAGGGAUGCUGAUACCGCAUACGUCCUACGGGAGAAAGCAGGGGAUCACUUGUGACCUUGCGCUAACAGAUGAGCCUAAGUCGGAUUAGCUAGUUGGUGGGGUAAAGGCCUACCAAGGCGACGAUCUGUAGCGGGUCUGAGAGGAUGAUCCGCCACACUGGGACUGAGACACGGCCCAGACUCCUACGGGAGGCAGCAGUGGGGAAUAUUGGACAAUGGGGGGAACCCUGAUCCAGCCAUGCCGCGUGUGUGAAGAAGGCCUUAUGGUUGUAAAGCACUUUAAGCGAGGAGGAGGCUCUUUUGGUUAAUACCCAAGAUGAGUGGACGUUACUCGCAGAAUAAGCACCGGCUAACUCUGUGCCAGCCGCCGCAGUAA
RNAcentral lists this ribosomal RNA (503 nucleotides) under uncultured bacterium. Its description in RNAcentral is "partial 16S ribosomal RNA". It matches the Rfam family "Bacterial small subunit ribosomal RNA", at positions 30 to 523 of the family's 1533-position model. The record is from RNAcentral.